RNAcentral lists this microRNA precursor (287 nucleotides) under Oryza sativa Indica Group (long-grained rice). RNAcentral's name for it is "osa-MIR821b". It matches the Rfam family "MIR821 microRNA precursor family". Lineage: Eukaryota; Viridiplantae; Streptophyta; Magnoliopsida; Poales; Poaceae. The record is from RNAcentral.
CUAAAUGAUUUCAAUUGAAAAAGUCAUCAACAACAAAGUUGAAUAACUCAUCAAGAUCUAAAACUUUUAUUUUUGUUAUUUCUUCAUCCGACGAAAUGUUAGUAAUAUUAUUCAUAAAUUUUACAUAUAUGUGUUAUAGUUUAUAAAACCAGAUAAGAGAUAUGUCAAUUUUAUGAACAAUGUUACUAUCACUUUGUCGUAUGAAGAAAUGACCAAAAUAAAAGUUUUAGAUCUUGAUGAGUUAUUCAACUUUGUUGUUGAUGACUUUUUCAGUUGAUAUCAUUUAG